GAUAAGAUGGGUGCACUCCCUCAGAUAAACGGACUGAUUUGCUUUUGCCUUUCUUAACAGGAAAUGUGUUCAUUGCCCUGAAGAAUGUGGGAAAACGUGCAGCCCUCUGAAGAUUCCCUUGUGCAGCUCUGGGACUGGCCUGGCUGGAUUUUCUGUUGCUUACUUUAUAAAUACAUGAAAGGUACAUGUUCUGAGGGAUGGGAGGACUUUUUAAGUGCCAGAUGUGCAGCCUUCAUCCCUGACAGCUGAGAGCCUGGUUCAUUUUCCACAUACUUCUUCUUCCUAUAAUAUUCCUGAGACUGAAUAGGACUUUGACUCCCAUUUUUUCAGUGCAGAGGUAGGAAAUGCUGAGCCAAAUUCAGUGAGGAUGCCUGUGGACAGAGGAUAAAGUGGAGGUCUGGUCUCCCAAGUGUUUUUUGACUCCCUGAAAGCAACCCUAUCAGUUAGGAC
Long non-coding RNA from Parus major (Great Tit), 450 nucleotides. NCBI's taxonomy places the organism in Eukaryota, Metazoa, Chordata, Aves, Passeriformes, Paridae. The record is from Ensembl.